GUGGCUGUGGCUCAGUGGUAGCGCACUUACCUGGCAUGUAUGAGGCACUGGGUUCGAUUCUAAGCACCACA
This is a non-coding RNA of Ictidomys tridecemlineatus (thirteen-lined ground squirrel), 71 nucleotides long. The record is from Rfam. Lineage: Eukaryota; Metazoa; Chordata; Mammalia; Rodentia; Sciuridae.